GUGCCAGCAGCGGCGGUAAUACGGAGGGUGCGAGCGUUAAUCGGAUUGACUGGGCGUAAAGGGCAUGUAGGCGGAUAUGCAAGUUAGGUGUGAAAUCCCUGGGCUCAACCUAGGAAUUGCAUUUAAAACUGUGUAUCUAGAGUACUAUAGAGGAAGGUAGAACUCCAAGUGUAGCGGUGAAAUGCGUAGAGAUUUGGAAGAAUACCGGUGGCGAAGGCGACCUUCUGGGUAGAUACUGACGCUGAGAUGCGAAGGCGUGGGAGCAACAGGAUUAGAUACCUGGUAGUCCACGCAGUAACGAUGUCGAUUAGGAGUAUGG
RNAcentral lists this ribosomal RNA (319 nucleotides) under uncultured Gilliamella sp. RNAcentral's name for it is "bacterial SSU rRNA". It matches the Rfam family "Bacterial small subunit ribosomal RNA", at positions 505 to 827 of the family's 1533-position model. The record is from RNAcentral. Lineage: Bacteria; Pseudomonadati; Pseudomonadota; Gammaproteobacteria; Orbales; Orbaceae.